AGGAUGGGUGGAAGGCUCGGUUGAUGAAGACCCCAGGGAAUGGAUAAGACCCCAGAUUGAACAAAAUCUUACAAUGCACAUAAACACAAAAUGACAAA
Long non-coding RNA from Thalassophryne amazonica, 98 nucleotides. RefSeq lists it as uncharacterized. The record is from RefSeq and is a predicted model, not a curated record. NCBI's taxonomy places the organism in Eukaryota, Metazoa, Chordata, Actinopteri, Batrachoidiformes, Batrachoididae. The transcript has 4 exons.